RNAcentral lists this long non-coding RNA (1362 nucleotides) under Ficedula albicollis (Collared flycatcher). Its description in RNAcentral is "lncRNA (ENSFALG00000026608.1)". Lineage: Eukaryota; Metazoa; Chordata; Aves; Passeriformes; Muscicapidae. The record is from RNAcentral.
GGGGGGGGGGGGGGGGGGGGGGGGGGGGUCCCGGAGAGCAUCCCUGGGUGCGGGCAGCGGACACCCCCAAAAAAUCCAGCAUCUGUUCCUGGCCGCUCGGGACGCCGCUGCGCGGUGCCCCCCGCCCGAGCUGUCCGACCGUGCUCUUUACCUCCUGUCAGUCAGGGUGAACUUGCUCGCCUUGUUUGUGCUUCGGCGGGUCGGUUUUGACUUACCCCUGUGGUAUGUGGAAGCGCCGACUCCAAUAAACCCUUAACUCUUUCCCGUGCUGGCAUCAGGCUAGGCUUUGCCCGGUCCGGCUCCGCGCCCAUUUAAGGAAAAGCCGGCCCCGGGCUUGCCCGGUGCGAUGCACGCGUGGAGCCGCAGCCCCUCCGGGAGCGGCACCGACCCCGCGGCUGGGACAUGGCGCGGGGGCGCGGGGGCAGUGAUGUCCGCCCGCCUCAGGGCCGCCGUUGUCCCGCCGCCCGCUGCCGUCUCGUCCCGGUUCCUCUCCGCGGAGCCCGCUCCAUCCUCCGGCCCGUCUCGGUCCCCUGCUCCAGCCGCUCUCCAGCCGCUGGGCUUCGCACCUUCCCUGCCGCCGCGCCGCACCUGAGCCCGCCACCACCUCCCGCAGCUGCUUCGCUGGCGGGAUGUUCGGAGAGAAUCCGAGCGCCGGUUUUCCACCGGAGGGUGAUUCCCGGCGCUUUCCCCGACGAUGCCGUUUUGAUCGUCGUCCCUUCGCACCGUGCCAGCGGGAUUGCGCCCGGAUUAAGUCAACUCAGGGGAAGGGAAGAGCAUGGUUCAUACGUUCCCGGCCGCAGCCAUGGGCAGGGUGGCAUCACCCUGGCAGUGCUCAGUGCUGGAUGUGUCUGAACACCGAGCUGAGGACUAGGAUAGAGCCAACAGGCCAUGCUGUGGUCAGUGACAGACUGUCAGUCACUGUCAGGCUGUGCAGACAGGAGGGAAUCCACACUCACAUCACCUAAGGUCAGCCCCCAGAUGGAGACAGCCAGGCCGGAAUGCUGACCAGGUCGAACCUCCUCUCUGGAAGUGUCUCCUCCUACCCUUAGAUUAUGCUAAAAUGCCACCACAUUUGGAAUGCUGAAUUGGGUGAACUAUUGGGUGGCCUAAAAUGAGACCAGGUGAAUAUCCAUUUUAAAUGCUUAAUCUCAGUCUUUCCUUGCCCUCUCAGCAUCCCAGCAUCCCAGCAUCCCAGCAUCCCAGCAUCCCAGCCCAGAUGCAGACACUGAGUGCCCAAUUUAUAUGACUACACUCAGGAAGUAGUUCCACCUCUGCACUGAGGAUGCACAAUUAGAAAUAAGAGAUGCAGUAAGUCCAAAAUAAUAGAUGUUUUAUUAUCAGUGUGCAAGGCUGCAUUUUAAG